GAGAGGCGAGCAUCGGAGUCGAUGUUGGUGCGCAGAAGGGCGUGCGGUCCCUAUUUAAGCCGUUGGUUUUGCAUAGAUUACACGGACGCACUUUACCUGUAAAGGACAUCGUCACUACGCACCCGAGCACCAGAAAUCUUCCAAAAUGUCAGACAAUCAAAGUGGAGUCAACAAGGAGUUGGAGGGAUAUGACAAGAACAAGCUGAAGAAGAGUGACACAAAAGAAAAAAACACACUUCCAACUGCAGAAAUCAUUGAACAAGAGAAGAAAUCCAAGGAAGUUGAUAAAACAACAUGAUUCCUCUCAGUCACUCCUGCCCUGUUACCUGCUCCAUCUCCAGUCAGGAGUGCGGUCCAUCAUCUCCUCCUCUGCUUCUGUUUUCUGUGCCACCAUGAUCAAUUCAAAAUGGUGUUUGGGCUGAUGCUAUGAGAAAAUAUGUAUGUAUUCCAUGGAUAAAUCUAUGCAAUGGGUGAUUUUACUGUGCUAUUUCCAUGCAGCUUAUAAUAGGGUGAAUAGAGUAAAAUGAUUUGACAGGCUAAUUUUUCAAAAUCCAGGGAAAAUAUAAAGUAUCAAUGGAAAGUAAAGCUAAUUUUUUGUUAACAAAACCACAAGUAUGCCUAUACAUUGUGCCACACAGGACAUGUUCUGAAAAAAAACCCACAAAAUUAUAUUUUUGUUCUAAUAAACUUGGUGAAAAAUGA
Notolabrus celidotus (New Zealand spotty) is the source of this 702-nucleotide long non-coding RNA. RefSeq lists it as uncharacterized. The transcript is spliced from 3 exons. NCBI's taxonomy places the organism in Eukaryota, Metazoa, Chordata, Actinopteri, Labriformes, Labridae. The record is from RefSeq and is a predicted model, not a curated record.